AACAGGUGUUCAGUCUUCCUAAGGUCAGUGUUAACAGGUAUAUUGUGUUAACAGGUGUUCAGUCUCCCCAAGGUCAGUGUUAACAGGUAUAUUGUGUUAACAGGUGUUCAGUCU
Molecule: long non-coding RNA, 114 nt
Organism: Coregonus clupeaformis (lake whitefish)
Lineage: Eukaryota; Metazoa; Chordata; Actinopteri; Salmoniformes; Salmonidae
Exons: 3
Source: RefSeq, a predicted model, not a curated record